GCAGGCCUAACACAUGCAAGUCGAACGCCCCGCAAGGGGAGUGGCAGACGGGUGAGUAACGCGUGGGAACAUACCCUUUCCUGCGGAAUAGCUCCGGGAAACUGGAAUUAAUACCGCAUACGCCCUACGGGGGAAGGAUUUAUCGGGGAAGGAUUGGCCCGCGUUGGAUUAGCUAGUUGGUGGGGUAAAGGCCUACCAAGGCGACGAUCCAUAGCUGGUCUGAGAGGAUGAUCAGCCACAUUGGGACUGAGACACGGCCCAAACUCCUACGGGAGGCAGCAGUGGGGAAUAUUGGACAAUGGGCGCAAGCCUGAUCCAGCCAUGCCGCGUGAGUGAUGAAGGCCUUAGGGUUGUAAAGCUCUUUCACCGGAGAAGAUAAUGACGGUAUCCGGAGAAGAAGCCCCGGCUAACUUCGUGCCAGCAGCCGCGGUAAUACGAAGGGGGCUAGCGUUGUUCGGAAUUACUGGGCGUAAAGCGCACGUAGGCGGAUAUUUAAGUCAGGGGUGAAAUCCCAGAGCUCAACUCUGGAACUGCCUUUGAUACUGGGUAUCUUGAGUAUGGAAGAGGUAAGUGGAAUUCCGAGUGUAGAGGUGAAAUUCG
Molecule: ribosomal RNA, 600 nt
Filed under: uncultured bacterium
Lineage: Bacteria
Description: bacterial SSU rRNA
Rfam family: Bacterial small subunit ribosomal RNA
Source: RNAcentral